Molecule: ribosomal RNA, 636 nt
Filed under: uncultured bacterium
Lineage: Bacteria
Description: bacterial SSU rRNA
Rfam family: Bacterial small subunit ribosomal RNA
Source: RNAcentral
AGAGUUUGAUCCUGGCUCAGGAUGAACGCUGGCGGCAUGCCUAACACAUGCAAGUCGAACGGGGUUUAUAUGACAGAACUCUCCGGAGGGAAGAUAUAUAAACCUAGUGGCGGACGGGUGAGUAACGCGUGGGCAACCUGCCCUGUACCGGGGGACAACAGCCAGAAAUGGCUGCUAAUACCGCAUAAGCCUGCUGUGCCGCAUGGCACAGCAGGGAAAACCACGGUGGUACAGGAUGGGCCCGCGUCUGAUUAGUUAGUUGGCAGGGUAACGGCCUACCAAGACAACGAUCAGUAGCCGGCUUGAGAGAGUGGACGGCCACAUUGGGACUGAGACACGGCCCAGACUCCUGCGGGAGGCAGCAGUGGGGAAUAUUGCACAAUGGGGGGAACCCUGAUGCAGCAAUGCCGCGUGGGUGAAGAAGCACUCCGGUGUGUAAAGCCCUGUCAGCAGGGAAGAAAAUGGCAGUACCUGGACAAGAAGCCCCGGCUAACUACGUGCCAGCAGCCGCGGUAAUACGUANGGGGCAAGCGUUAUCCGGAUUUACUGGGUGUAAAGGGAGCGCAAGCGGCGUGGCAAGUCAGAUGUGAAAACCCGGGGCCCAACCCCGGGAGUGCAUUUGAAACUGCCAUGCUG